ACAGUUUUUGGUAGAUGGCAUUUUAUGGUAUGUAGCAUAUAAUUUUUUGGUAGGUAACAAUUUACAGGUAUAGCAUAUACUACACCAACAGAUUCGCGCAAAAACUUUUUCGCCACUUUUAAGUUUUUAAAGAAUUUUAAUUUUUGGAAGUUUUUUGCUUUAAUUCGGUUAUAAAUACGCGUAGAGACUUGAAACUUGCUAAUGAUACUUAUAUUAAACUUACCUAGAUCUAGUUAAGAUUUCAAAAUCUUCGGACGACUUUUUAAUUU
Non-coding RNA from Cinara cedri, 269 nucleotides. NCBI's taxonomy places the organism in Eukaryota, Metazoa, Arthropoda, Insecta, Hemiptera, Aphididae. The record is from the annotation of a GenBank genome assembly.